RNAcentral lists this ribosomal RNA (1770 nucleotides) under Triticum aestivum (bread wheat). RNAcentral's name for it is "partial small subunit ribosomal RNA". Lineage: Eukaryota; Viridiplantae; Streptophyta; Magnoliopsida; Poales; Poaceae. The record is from RNAcentral.
AUGCUCCCCUUAAAUUCUCAGCCUUCACGGGGACACAACCGUGCACGCACCAUGCCUACCUCCUCUGCUCCCCGCCUCUUCCUCCUCUGCUUCUUCGCUCUGCUCUCCCACUCCCACUUCUCCGCCGCUAGGCCGCACCACCUCCGCCUCUCGGCCGAGGACGUCGCCACGGUCGAGGCGGCGCUGCCGGCUCGCCACCUCGCCAAGGCCAAGACCACCUUCUUCGAGGUCAACCGGCCGCUGCACCCGCCGCGGGGGAGCUCGGGGCCCUGCUCCACGCUCCUCCUCUCACAGUCCUUCGCGCUCACUCUCAACAAGCCGCCGGUCACCACCGCCUACUCGCCGCCCUCCUGCCUGAGCGGCGGGGGGGACGUCUCCCUCGCCGUCCUCGAGUGGCGCGCCGACUGCCACGGCGUGCAGUACGACCGCAUCUUUGGCGUCUGGCUCGGCGGGGCGGAGCUCCUGCGCGGCAGCACCGCCGAGCCGCGCCCGGGCGGCGUCACGUGGUCCGUGCACAAGGACGUCACCAAGUACGCGUCCCUCCUCGCGGCCGGCAACUCCACGCUCGCGGUCUACCUCGGCAACCUCAUCGACGACACCUACAACGGCGUGUACUACGCGAACCUCACGCUUCACCUCUACUUCCGGCGCAAGGCCCAGCUGACGUCGGCGGACUCGUCGCCCGCUGAUCUGAUCGUCCCCGUCUCGAGAAGCCUGCCUCUCGACGAUGGGCUCUGGUUCGUGGUCCAGAACAAGACCGACGUCGAGUCCACGCGCGUCGCCGUGCCGGCCAACGCUUACCGCGCGGUGCUCGAGGUCUACGUCUCGUCCCACUACUCGGACGAGUUCUGGUACAUGAACACGCCGGACCAGAACGGGCCGUUCCGCGAGGUCACUGUCUUGCUCGACGGCGACGUCGUGGGUGCCGUGUGGCCGUUCCCGGUGAUCUACGCCGGCGGCAUCAACCCCCUCAUCUGGCGCCCAAUCACCAGCAUUGGCUCGUUCAAUCUGCCCACUUACGACAUCGAGCUCACGCCGUUCUUGGGGAAGCUGCUGGACAGCAAGGAGCACGAGGUCGGGUUCGCGGUGACCAACGCGCAGAACUCGUGGUACGUGAACGGCAACCUCCACCUCUGGCUCGACCCCAAGGGCUCCACGACCACCGGCGGCCUCAUCUCCUACGACGCGCCCAAGCUGUCGGGGAGCAUCACCGCGCACUCCGUGGACGGCAUCGACGGGGAGUACCAAGCGAUGGCGAGCCGCAACAUCUCGGCCACGGGGUGGGUAAGCUCGUCGCGCGGCAACAUCACCACCACGUUCGCCCAGCGGCUCAGCUUCGCGAACUCGAACGUGGUGAGCAACAAGGGCAGCUCGCAGGUGAUCAACCAGACCACCGAUGCUCACGCCGACGUCGGCGGCGGGGCGUACGCGCAGCAGGUGCAGCAGAGCUUCCCGCUCUACAUCUUCCAGGGCGGCGACGGCAGCGGCACCUCCUCGCAGCGGCUGAAGCGGCGCGUGGAGAUCGGGUUCGUGGAGUCCCGCGCGGGCGCCGGCGGGGCGGGGACGAGCACGCUGCGGAACGAGCAGGUGGCGGAGGCGGAGGUGGUGCUCCGGGACGACCAGGUGGCCGGCGCGUCGUGGCGGAUGCACCAGGUGUACAACUACGGCGCCAGCAACGGCGGCUGCUACUUGAGGAACGUGACCAGCGUCGGCUACGACGUGCUUUUCGACCAUAAUGUGGCGUCGUGCACCGGGACGCGCCGACGUUGA